CAGUCGUACUUAUGGGUAAUCAGCCUUGCUUCUUGCUUGGUGCAUUUCCUAGUCUACGGGCCAGCAUGAAUCUUGAGCGGUGGAAAAGGGUUUGGGGAAUGUGGCACCUCCGGGUGUGUUAUAGCCCCUUGCUGUAUACACUGGUUGGGAUUGAGGUUUCAGUGCACGCUUCGGUUGUGCUUUGAUGCUGGCGUAAUGGCUUAAGCGACCCGUCUUGAAACACGGACCAAGGAGUCUAACAUAUGUGCGAGUG
RNAcentral lists this ribosomal RNA (253 nucleotides) under Diversispora epigaea. The record is from RNAcentral. Lineage: Eukaryota; Fungi; Glomeromycota; Glomeromycetes; Diversisporales; Diversisporaceae.